CUUGCUGCUGCAGCCUGCCUGGGACUUCCCUCGCGGAGGGAAGGCUCACGCCACGAUGGGAAGGCCCCAGCUGAAGGGGAAGGAAGCGGGGGAGUGGCACCAUCCUCCUGGGGGGGGGGGUUCAAGGGUGCCCCCAGGAGGGUGGUGCCACAGGCAAAUGACUACUUUGCCUGGCGGUCGAACUGCCUCUGAUGGUGGCCAGGAACCUUCCACACUUUUGACAUACCUGAAGAUUCUGUAAGAAAUUUCCUGCCGUCAUCAGUUUCAAGGACUCCUGCCAUGAAGGAAUGGUGCAAUUUUUCUCCAUAUCUAUUUUGACAGCAUUUACCUUCCUCUGGAAUAGCAGUAGCACACAGUCCAUGAUACGCAUGAUAAGAUGUGGUGGCCGACCUAAUGUGCGAACGGUGGCAAUAUCUGCAGGCUUGAUAGUCUAGAUUUUUGAAAAAGAACAGAAAGGUUUGCCAAUAUCCUCCACUUUAACUUCUCGACAUAUCUAAGAUUGGCACAUCUAAGAUUGGCAAAAGCUAUUGGACAAAGGCCUCACCAUUAGCUUAUCGGAUGCAACAAUUUAACUCUCCUGAGUCAUGUUUUAUUGCAGAAACCACACACAUCUAGAUCUUUAAACUAAGCCUUUUGUAACAGUGUCACUAAAGGGGUUUGAAUAACAUCCACAAGUUUCUGCCACUGGAAUAAAAAUUGCCCCAACAAA
Molecule: long non-coding RNA, 709 nt
Organism: Anolis carolinensis (green anole)
Lineage: Eukaryota; Metazoa; Chordata; Lepidosauria; Squamata; Anolidae
Exons: 2
Source: RefSeq, a predicted model, not a curated record